AUACGUAUGGAGCAAGCGUUAUCCGGAUUUACUGGGUGUAAAGGGAGCGUAGACGGCAAAGCAAGUCUGAAGUGAAAGCCCCGGGCUCAACCCGGGAAUUGCUUUGGAAACUGUUUAGCUAGAGUGCAGGAGAGGUAAGCGGAAUUCCUAGUGUAGCGGUGAAAUGCGUAGAUAUUAGGAGGAACACCGGCGGCGAAGGCGGCUUACUGGACUGUAACUGACGUUGAGGCUCGAAAGCGUGGGGAGCAAACAGGAUUAGAUACCCUGGUAGUCCACGCCGUAAACGAUGAUUACUAGGUGUUGGUUGUCAUAGACAAUCGGUGCCGCAGCAAACGCAAUAAGUAAUCCACCUGGGGAGUACGUUCGCAAGAAUGAAACUCAAAUGAAUUGACGGGG
RNAcentral lists this ribosomal RNA (396 nucleotides) under uncultured bacterium. RNAcentral describes it as "partial 16S ribosomal RNA". It matches the Rfam family "Bacterial small subunit ribosomal RNA", at positions 523 to 918 of the family's 1533-position model. The record is from RNAcentral.